GACGAACGCUGGCGGCGUGCUUAACACAUGCAAGUCGAACGGAAAGGCCCUGCUUGCAGGGUGCUCGAGUGGCGAACGGGUGAGUAACACGUGGGUGAUCUGCCCCUUACUUUGGGAUAAGCCUGGUAAACUGGUUCUAAUACUGGAUAGGACCAUGCUGUAGGUGGUGUGGUGGAAAGAUUAGUUUCGGUAAGGGAUGAGCUCGCGGCCUAUCAGCUUGUUGGUGUGGUAAUGGCCUACCAAGGCGUCGACGGGUAGCCGGCCUGAGAGGGUGGACGGCCACAUUGGGACUGAGAUACGGCCCAGACUCCUACGGGAGGCAGCAGUGGGGAAUAUUGCACAAUGGGCGCCAGCCUGAUGAAGCGACGCCGCGUGGGGGAUGACGGACUUCGGGUUGUAAACUCCUUUCAGCCAUGACGAAGCCCUUGUGGUGACGGUAGUGGUAGAAGAAGCACCGGCUAACUACGUG
Molecule: ribosomal RNA, 469 nt
Filed under: uncultured bacterium
Lineage: Bacteria
Description: partial 16S ribosomal RNA
Rfam family: Bacterial small subunit ribosomal RNA
Source: RNAcentral